Molecule: ribosomal RNA, 253 nt
Filed under: uncultured bacterium
Lineage: Bacteria
Description: partial 16S ribosomal RNA
Rfam family: Bacterial small subunit ribosomal RNA
Source: RNAcentral
UACAGAGGGGGCAAGCGUUAUUCGGAAUUAUUGGGCGUAAAGGGCGCGUAGGCGGCUUGGCAAGUGGAAGGUGAAAUCCCUCGGCUUAACCGAGGAACUGCCCUCCAAACUGCUUCGCUUGAGACCGGGGGAGGUGAGUGGAAUUCCCAGUGUAGCGGUGAAAUGCGUAGAUAUUGGGAGGAACACCAGUGGCGAAGGCGGCUCACUGGACCGGUACUGACGCUGAUGCGCGAAAGCGUGGGGAGCAAACGGG